This 1159-nucleotide unclassified non-coding RNA is filed under the name Homarus americanus (American lobster). RNAcentral's name for it is "charged multivesicular body protein 1b-like, transcript variant X1". The record is from RNAcentral. Lineage: Eukaryota; Metazoa; Arthropoda; Malacostraca; Decapoda; Nephropidae.
GGAGAUGUUGCACCACCGCCGUGACGUCAUCGGUAAACAGUAGUGUCACGGGAGCAGUGUUGCUGGUGUGUGUCUCUGCCUUAUUUACCUCCUUUAAGUCAACUCUCCCUCCUACUCCCCAGUGGUCGUCUCCAACAUGUCGAUAGCAAAUAUGGAAAAGCACCUCUUCAGCUUGAAGUUUGCUGCCAAAGAUCUUGAACGGCAGUCCAAAAAAUGUGAAAAGGAGGAGAAAGGAGAGAAGGUGAAGCUGAAGAAAGCAAUAGCGAAGGGAAACAUGGAUGGCGCUCGUAUCCACGCUGAAAAUUCCAUUCGUAACAAAAGUCAAGCACUCAACUAUCUUCGAAUGGCUGCUAGAGUUGAUGCAGUAGCUUCUCGCGUCCAGACGGCUGUGACACAACGCAAGGUUACUCAGAGCAUGGCCGGCGUAGUUAAAAACCUGGAUGCAGCAAUGAAGAGCAUGAACCUGGAGAAGAUUUCAGCCCUUAUGGACAAGUUUGAACACCAGUUUGAAGACUUGGAUGUACAGAGCUCGUAUAUGGACACUGCCAUGAGUCAGACCACUACCACAGCUGUUCCUCAAGAUGCUGUUAAUGGCCUCAUGUCUCAGGUGGCUGAUGAAGCUGGCUUGGAAUUGAACAUGGAACUACCAACUGGAGGAACAUCCACGGUGGGAGUAAGUGCAACACAAGCCAGCCAAGACCAGGAUGAGCUGACUCAGAGACUGGCUAAACUUCGUAAUGCUUGAUUCUUGCAAGAAUGCUGGUUGCACCUCAGAUUUUUGCUGGAGGGAACCUGGACGCAGGGUGGCAAGGUUAAAGUGAUUGAAAAUAUGUGGGACUUAUUGUUACUGUACACAACCAGUUCCAGCUGGUGUUGACAUCAAUCUUGGUUUAUAAGGUAUUUUUAUUUAGUGAUUGUUCAGGUCUUACCUUCUCUUUAAAUUCUUAAGUUUUAUACAUUUCCCAAUUCACAGUGGCUGGUGUUCAAGGAUGAGACAAAGAUGGGUAGAUGCUUUAAUAUUUGUUUAAAAUUUAAAUGAUUAUGUGAAUAAGAGAGCAGGUUCUAUUUUUAGUUAUGUUAAACUCAUUAUACAGUAUAUGCAGAUAUAAGACUUUAUAUGACACUUGUAUACACAAUUAAAUAAAUUAAUUUAGUUUAA